GGAAGCAGGGGAUCGUAAGACCUUGUGCUUUUGGAGUGGCCGAUGCCUGAUUAGCUAGUUGGUAGGGUAAUGGCCUACCAAGGCGACGAUCAGUAGUUGGUCUGAGAGGACGACCAGCCACACUGGGACUGAGACACGGCCCAGACUCCUACGGGAGGCAGCAGUGGGGAAUUUUGGACAAUGGGCGCAAGCCUGAUCCAGCAAUGCCGCGUGAGUGAAGAAGGCCUUCGGGUUGUAAAGCUCUUUCAGUUGAGAAGAAAAGGUUGUGACUAAUAAUCACAACUCAUGACGGUAUCGACAGAAGAAGCACCGGCUAACUACGUGCCAGCAGCCGCGGUAAUACGUAGGGUGCGAGCGUUAAUCGGAAUUACUGGGCGUAAAGGGUGCGCAGGCGGCUUUGUAAGUCAGAUGUGAAAUCCCCGGGCUUAACCUGGGAAUUGCGUUUGAAACUACAAGGCUAGA
RNAcentral lists this ribosomal RNA (462 nucleotides) under uncultured beta proteobacterium. Its description in RNAcentral is "bacterial SSU rRNA". It matches the Rfam family "Bacterial small subunit ribosomal RNA", at positions 187 to 645 of the family's 1533-position model. The record is from RNAcentral. Lineage: Bacteria; Pseudomonadati; Pseudomonadota; Betaproteobacteria.